CACCAGUGACACCGCAGCCGCGGCUAUC
Molecule: small RNA, 28 nt
Filed under: Bombyx mori (domestic silkworm)
Lineage: Eukaryota; Metazoa; Arthropoda; Insecta; Lepidoptera; Bombycidae
Description: ovarian small RNA-12940
Source: RNAcentral